Ciona intestinalis (vase tunicate) is the source of this 311-nucleotide non-coding RNA. NCBI's taxonomy places the organism in Eukaryota, Metazoa, Chordata, Ascidiacea, Phlebobranchia, Cionidae. The record is from RefSeq and is a predicted model, not a curated record.
UACGGUUUUUAAAGUUUCACUGAGUAAAGAAUUAUGAAGUCUGCUCUGAUCUUGCUUUGCUGUGUUUUGAUGAUUGUUAUUGAUCCAACCACUUCCUUCUUGAGCCCUAAACCCAAGAAUGACAAAUCUCUGUAUAAUCUUUACCACAAACAAAGUUCAAACGUGGAUGAUAAUUUGAACGAAAUGAGAAGUCUCCAGCAGAACCUUGAAAAGCUCCGAAGUUAAUUUGAGGGUCAACCAAAUAAACGCAUUUCAACUUACUAACUGUUAUGUUUAAGUGAUGCGUUUAAAUAAAACAUAAUAUACCCCAA